Molecule: ribosomal RNA, 1343 nt
Filed under: uncultured bacterium
Lineage: Bacteria
Description: 16S ribosomal RNA
Rfam family: Bacterial small subunit ribosomal RNA
Source: RNAcentral
GACGAACGCUGGCGGCGUGCUUAACACAUGCAAGUCGAACGGAAAGGCCCUGCUUUUGUGGGGUGCUCGAGUGGCGAACGGGUGAGUAACACGUGAGUAACCUGCCCUUGACUUUGGGAUAACUUCAGGAAACUGGGGCUAAUACCGGAUAGGAGCUCCUGCUGCAUGGUGGGGGUUGGAAAGUUUCGGCGGUUGGGGAUGGACUCGCGGCUUAUCAGCUUGUUGGUGGGGUAGUGGCUUACCAAGGCUUUGACGGGUAGCCGGCCUGAGAGGGUGACCGGCCACAUUGGGACUGAGAUACGGCCCAGACUCCUACGGGAGGCAGCAGUGGGGAAUAUUGCACAAUGGGCGGAAGCCUGAUGCAGCAACGCCGCGUGCGGGAUGACGGCCUUCGGGUUGUAAACCGCUUUCGCCUGUGACGAAGCGUGAGUGACGGUAAUGGGUAAAGAAGCACCGGCUAACUACGUGCCAGCAGCCGCGGUGAUACGUAGGGUGCGAGCGUUGUCCGGAUUUAUUGGGCGUAAAGGGCUCGUAGGUGGUUGAUCGCGUCGGAAGUGUAAUCUUGGGGCUUAACCCUGAGCGUGCUUUCGAUACGGGUUGACUUGAGGAAGGUAGGGGAGAAUGGAAUUCCUGGUGGAGCGGUGGAAUGCGCAGAUAUCAGGAGGAACACCAGUGGCGAAGGCGGUUCUCUGGGCCUUUCCUGACGCUGAGGAGCGAAAGCGUGGGGAGCGAACAGGCUUAGAUACCCUGGUAGUCCACGCUGUAAACGGUGGGUACUAGGUGUGGGGUCCAUUCCACGGGUUCCGUGCCGUAGCUAACGCUUUAAGUACCCCGCCUGGGGAGUACGGCCGCAAGGCUAAAACUCAAAGGAAUUGUCGGGGCCCCGCACAAGCGGCGGAGCAUGCGGAUUAAUUCGAUGCAACGCGUAGAACCUUACCUGGGUUUGACAUGGAUCGGGAGUGCUCAGAGAUGGGUGUGCCUCUUUUGGGGUCGGUUCACAGGUGGUGCAUGCCUGUCGUCAGCUCGUGUCGUGAGAUGUUGGGUUAAGUCCCGCAACGAGCGCAACCCUUGUUCACUGUUGCCAGCACGUUAUGGUGGGGACUCAGUGGAGACCGCCGGGGUCAACUCGGAGGAAGGUGGGGAUGACGUCAAGUCAUCAUGCCCCUUAUGUCCAGGGCUUCACGCAUGCUACAAUGGCUGGUACAGAGAGUGGCGAGCCUGUGAGGGUGAGCGAAUCUCGGAAAGCCGGUCUCAGUUCGGAUUGGGGUCUGCAACUCGACCUCAUGAAGUCGGAGUCGCUAGUAAUCGCAGAUCAGCAACGCUGCGGUGAAUACGUUCCCGGG